This 500-nucleotide antisense RNA is filed under the name Saccharomonospora sp. CUA-673. RNAcentral's name for it is "Saccharopolyspora sRNA 350". It matches the Rfam family "Saccharopolyspora sRNA 350". The record is from Rfam by way of RNAcentral. Lineage: Bacteria; Bacillati; Actinomycetota; Actinomycetes; Pseudonocardiales; Pseudonocardiaceae.
ACCGCCGUGAAAUCCCAGGCCGCCUGCGGGUCCAGCAGUCCUGUUCCGCCGAAAUGGUCGCCGUCGUCGAUGACGUCGAGCAGGAUCCGUUCACCGUAUUCGCCGGUACCGUGCCUGGUGACCCUGCCGCGCGCGAGCACCCGCACCCCGUCGACGGGGUCGCCGGACGCGCAGAUCGUCUCGCCGGAGGUGUACUCGUCCUGCCGGAACGCCUCCGCCAGUUCCCGCAGCACGUCAUCGUCGUCGAACUCGCGCAGCGCGCGCAGUUCCCGCAGUUCCCCGGCGACCGGACGGUAGGUGCCGUCGGCGAGGGUGCAGGUGAUCUGCCCGUCGCCGAUGGUGUAGGUCCGCCGCCGGUUGACCCGGUACGUACCACUGGAGACCUCCACCCACGGCAGCAUGCGCAGCAGCCACCGCGGCGUGAUGCCCUGCAUGUAGGGCUCGGACUUCGUGGUGGUGGACAGCGUCCGAGCUGCCUCGGUGCUGAGGGCGGACAACGG